GACGAACGCUGGCGGCGUGCUUAACACAUGCAAGUCGAACGGAAAGGCCCCUUUGGGGGUACUCGAGUGGCGAACGGGUGAGUAACACGUGAGUAACCUGCCCUUGACUUCGGGAUAACUUCAGGAAACUGGGGCUAAUACCGGAUAGGAAUCCUUGCUGCAUGGUGGGGGUUGGAAAGCUUCGGCGGUUUUGGAUGGACUGGCGGCUUAUCAGCUUGUUGGUGGGGUAGUGGCUUACCAAGGCUUUGACGGGUAGCCGGCCUGAGAGGGCGACCGGCCACAUUGGGACUGAGAUACGGCCCAGACUCCUACGGGAGGCAGCAGUGGGGAAUAUUGCACAAUGGGCGGAAGCCUGAUGCAGCAACGCCGCGUGCGGGAUGACGGCCUUCGGGUUGUAAACCGCUUUCAGCAGGGGCGAAGCUUGUGGUGACGGUACCUGCAGAAGAAGCACCGGCUAACUACGUG
This 465-nucleotide ribosomal RNA is filed under the name uncultured bacterium. RNAcentral describes it as "partial 16S ribosomal RNA". It matches the Rfam family "Bacterial small subunit ribosomal RNA", at positions 28 to 507 of the family's 1533-position model. The record is from RNAcentral.